Molecule: unclassified non-coding RNA, 337 nt
Filed under: soil metagenome
Description: partial contains 5.8S ribosomal RNA, internal transcribed spacer 2, and large subunit ribosomal RNA
Rfam family: 5.8S ribosomal RNA (bases 1-121)
Source: RNAcentral
GAUGAAGAACGCAGCGAAAUGCGAUAAGUAAUGCGAAUUGCAGAAUUUCCGUGAGUCAUCGAAUCUUUGAACGCACAUUGCGCCCCUUGGUAUUCCAUGGGGCAUGCCUGUUCGAGCGUCAUUUGUACCUUCAAGCUUUGCUUGGUGUUGGGUGUUUGUCUCGCCUUUGCGUGUAGACUCGCCUUAAAAUAAUUGGCAGCCGGCGUAUUGAUUUCGGAGCGCAGUACAUCUCGCGCUUUGCACUCAUAACGACAGCGUCCAAAAGUACAUUUUACACUCUUGACCUCGGAUCAGGUAGGGAUACCCGCUGAACUUAAGCAUAUCAAUAAGCGGAGGA